GGUAACGGAGAAUUAGGGUUCGAUUCCGGAGAGGGAGCCUGAAAAACGGCUACCACUUCCAAGGAAGGCAGCAGGCGCGCAAAUUACCCAAUCCUGAUUCAGGGAGGUAGUGACAAGAAAUAACAAUAGUUCGGCAAUAGUCAAACUAAUUGGAAUGAGUGCAAUUUAAACAUCUUGACGAGGAACAAUUGGAGGGCAAGUCUGGUGCCAGCAGCCGCGGUAAUACCAGCUCCAAUAGCGUAUACUAAAGUUGUUGCAGUUAAAAAGCUCGUAGUUGGAUUUCUGCGCUGAGAGGGAGGUGCGUGCACAUUUCCGUGUUUUGCAUUGACUUCUCGUGCAUCCUGCCACGAUCCACGCUACUAUUCAGUUAGUGGUGUUGGGGAAUGGCUCGUUUACUUUGAGAAAAAUAGAGUGUUCAAAGCAGGUAAUUAGCCUUGAAUAAGUUAGCAUGGAAUAAUGAUAAAGGACUUCGGUUCUAUUUGUUGGUGUUCGGGACUGAAGUAAUGAUUGAUAGGGACAGUUGGGGGCAUCAGUAUUCCCAAGCGAGAGGUGAAAUUCUAGGACCUUUGGAAGACUAACUGCUGCGAAAGCGUUUGCCAAGGAUGUUCCCUUUGAUCAAGAACGAAAGUUGGGGGAUCGAAGACGAUCAGAUACCGUCGUAGUCUCAUACUAUGAACUAUACCAGCUAGGGAUCGGCCGGCGUUAUAUAUAUAAGGGCCCGGUCGGCACCUUAUGAGAAAUCAAAGCAUUUGGGUUCCGGGGGGAGUAUGGUCGCAAGGCUGAAACUUAAAGGAAUUGACGGAAGGGCACCACCAGGUGUGGAGCCUGCGGCUCAAUUUGACUCAACACGGGAAAACUUACCAGGUCCAGACAUAGUAAGGAUUGACAGAUUGAGAGCUCUUUCUCGAUUCUAUGGGUGGUGGUGCAUGGCCGUUCUUAGUUGGUGGAGUGAUUUGUCUGGUUAAUUCCGUUAACGAACGAGACCCCAGCCUGCUAAAUAACGCUCAUUUGCUUUUGCAAGUGCUGAGCUUCUUAGAGGGACUAUGGAUUCGCAAUACAGACCAGGGAAGUUUGGGGCAAUAACAGGUCUGUGAUGCCCUUAGAUGUUCUGGGCCGCACGCGGGCUACACUGACGCAUGCAACGAGCAGAUCAGCUGGCCCGAGAGGGUCUUUGGCUAAUCUUUUGAACUUGCGUCGUGCUAGGGAUCGACUAUUGCAAUUGUUAGUCGUGCAACGAGGAAUACCUUGUAAACGCGAGUCAUCAACUCGCAUUGAAUACGUCCCUGCCCUUUGUACACACCGCCCGUCGCUCCUACCGAUGAAUGUUAAGAUGAAAUUUUCGGAGGGGUCCGAUGACCCAGGCCUAGCCUGGCGAUAUGGUAUCGCAAAGUUACUUGAAUCUGAACAUUUCGAGGAAGGAGAAGUCGUAACAAGGUUUCCGUAGGUGAACCUGCGGAAGGAUCAUUGACACUAAUCCAAAAAAACUUUAAACCUGUGUAUACCGACCCCCGAGUGCAGCUGUUAAUUCAUUCUGCCCGGGCUCGCACCCUUGGGCGAUUGGCCUCACGGCCGAUUACCCCUCCCUUAAAAAAAAAAAAAAAUUUUUGAUUUUUUUUUUGGUCGGCUCUCACGAGACGNUUUUUUUAUUAUGCUGCACUUUAUGUGCGUUACACCCCUCACCCACAUCGAUAAAUCUCUGAUGGAAGCCUCCGCUAGGAGGCGGCCAAGUAUUUCUUAAUCGUCUGAAAAGCGAUAAUACCUUUCAACGAUGGAUCUCUUGGUUCCCGCAACGAUGAAGAACGCCGCGAAACGCGAUAUGUAAUGUGAAUUGCAGGAUUAAGUGAAUCAUCAAAUCUUUGAACGCAAAUUGCGCUUGGGCCCUCGGGUUUGAGCAUACCUGGAUCAGACUCUUUUUUCAAAAGUACCAUGCUUUAUGGAUUAGACUCUGGGCGUUGCGCCUCCAAAGCGCAUCGCUUUAAAUCAGUCAUAAGGGCUUCAAGUGUCGGGUCAAUUGUCGUGUUGCGACUGUACCUGCGCGCCGAGGUAAUUCAGUUUAUUUUGCGUGUGGGGACGACUGCGGCCGGCCGACCUUUGUACCGCCUUACUCUAGCUAUUUUUACAGCUUGGAGCUGAUCUCAGGCAAGAGGACCCGCCGAAUUUAAACAUAUUACUAAGCGGAGGAAAAGAAACUAACAAGGAUUCCCUCAGUAACGGCGAGUGAAGCGGGACCAGCUCAAUUUGAAAAGCUCUGCGAUUUUAUCGCGGCGCAUUGUAUCCUUGCUAUGGACCUUUGUUUGGCUUCGGGUGCAAUUCGUUGUUGAGAUAGCGAGCCGGAGAGGGUAACAGCCCCG
RNAcentral lists this ribosomal RNA (2351 nucleotides) under Spongotrochus glacialis. RNAcentral describes it as "eukaryotic LSU rRNA". The stretch from base 1 to 1467 matches the Rfam family "Eukaryotic small subunit ribosomal RNA", at positions 358 to 1831 of the family's 1831-position model. Lineage: Eukaryota; Polycystinea; Spumellaria; Spongodiscidae. The record is from RNAcentral.